Molecule: small nucleolar RNA, 127 nt
Organism: Echinops telfairi (small Madagascar hedgehog)
Lineage: Eukaryota; Metazoa; Chordata; Mammalia; Afrosoricida; Tenrecidae
Product: small nucleolar RNA SNORA64/SNORA10 family
Exons: 1
Source: RefSeq, a predicted model, not a curated record
GCUCUCCUGGCUCCGCAUGGUCACACCUGCCACAACAUGUGUGACUUUCAUAAAGCGGAGAGAAAGGACGCUCUCAGGACGUCCGGCAGGCCUCCUGUGGCCUGUCCCUUGGGGGGGGGGCACAACA